Molecule: ribosomal RNA, 721 nt
Filed under: uncultured bacterium
Lineage: Bacteria
Description: bacterial SSU rRNA
Rfam family: Bacterial small subunit ribosomal RNA
Source: RNAcentral
CACAUGCAAGUCGAACGAGAGAUGAGGAGCUUGCUUUCAAAUCGAGUGGCGAACGGGUGAGUAACGCGUGAGGAACCUGCCUCAAAGAGGGGGACAACAGUUGGAAACGACUGCUAAUACCGCAUAAGCCCACGGCUCGGCAUCGAGCAGAGGGAAAAGGAGCAAUCCGCUUUGAGAUGGCCUCGCGUCCGAUUAGCUAGUUGGUGAGGUAAUGGCCCACCAAGGCGACGAUCGGUAGCCGGACUGAGAGGUUGAACGGCCACAUUGGGACUGAGACACGGCCCAGACUCCUACGGGAGGCAGCAGUGGGGAAUAUUGCACAAUGGGGGAAACCCUGAUGCAGCGACGCCGCGUGGAGGAAGAAGGUCUUCGGAUUGUAAACUCCUGUUGUUGAGGAAGAUAAUGACGGUACUCAACAAGGAAGUGACGGCUAACUACGUGCCAGCAGCCGCGGUAAAACGUAGGUCACAAGCGUUGUCCGGAAUUACUGGGUGUAAAGGGAGCGCAGGCGGGAGAACAAGUUGGAAGUGAAAUCCAUGGGCUCAACCCAUGAACUGCUUUCAAAACUGUUUUUCUUGAGUAGUGCAGAGGUAGGCGGAAUUCCCGGUGUAGCGGUGGAAUGCGUAGAUAUCGGGAGGAACGCCAGUGGCGAAGGCGGCCUACUGGGCACCAACUGACGCUGAGGCUCGAAAGUGUGGGUAGCAAACAGGAUUAGAUACCC